Molecule: ribosomal RNA, 253 nt
Filed under: uncultured bacterium
Lineage: Bacteria
Description: partial 16S ribosomal RNA
Rfam family: Bacterial small subunit ribosomal RNA
Source: RNAcentral
UACGUAGGGGGCAAGCGUUGUCCGGAUUUAUUGGGUUUAAAGGGUGCGUAGGCGGUCUAUUAAGUCAGUGGUGAAAGCCCCAAGCUCAACUUGGGAACUGCCAUUGAUACUGAUGGACUUGAGUACAUUUGAGGUGGGCGGAAUGUGUCAUGUAGCGGUGAAAUGCUUAGAUAUGACACAGAACACCGAUUGCGAAGGCAGCUCACUAAACUGUAACUGACGCUGAGGCACGAAAGCGUGUGGAGCAAACAGG